GUGCUCACUUUGGCACAUAUAUACUAAAAUCAGAACAAUACAGAGAUUAGUAUGGCCCCUGCUCAAAGAUGACAAGAAAAUUCAUGUUUUU
Molecule: small nuclear RNA, 91 nt
Organism: Capra hircus (goat)
Lineage: Eukaryota; Metazoa; Chordata; Mammalia; Artiodactyla; Bovidae
Source: Ensembl